RNAcentral lists this transfer RNA (70 nucleotides) under Lottia goshimai. RNAcentral describes it as "tRNA-Ala". The record is from RNAcentral. Lineage: Eukaryota; Metazoa; Mollusca; Gastropoda; Lottiidae.
GUUACCGUACUUUAAUAAAAAGAACCAGCUUGCAACUGGAAAAUGGAGAAAUUGAUACCUCCCGGCGACA